AGGAGAGUUUGAUCCUGGCUCAGGAUGAACGCUAGCGGCAGGCCUAAUACAUGCAAGUCGAACGGUAAAUGCCCCUUCGGGGGCAUGAGAGUGGCGGACGGGUGCGUUACGCGUAUGCAACCAACCCCCGACGGGGGCACAGCCGGUGGAAACGCCGGGUGAUGCCCCAUGCGGCCAAGGCGGGGCAUCCCACUUUGGCGAAAGCCUUCGGGCGGUCGGGGACGGGCAUGCGUGCCAUUAGAUAGUUGGCGGGGCGACGGCCCACCAAGUCUACGAUGGCUAGGGGAUCUGAGAGGACGGUCCCCCACACUGGUACUGAGACACGGACCAGACUCCUGCGGGAGGCAGCAGUAAGGGAUAUUGGGCAAUGGGGGGAACCCUGACCCAGCCAUGCCGCGUGAGGGAAUGAGGCCCUACGGGUCGUGAACCUCUUUUGCCUGGGGACAACCGCGGGGUCGGGAACCCCGCCUGCGGGUACCAGGCGAAUAAGCAUCGGCUAACUCCGUGCCAGCAGCCGCGGUAAUACGGAGGAUGCGAGCGUUAUCCGGAUUCAUUGGGUUUAAAGGGUGCGCAGGCGGCCAUGCAAGUCAGCGGUGAAAGCCCGGGGCCCAACCCCGGAAGUGCCGUUGAUACUGUAUGGCUGGAAUGCGGUCGAGGCGGGCGGAACGUGGCGUGUAGCGGUGAAAUGCGUAGAUAUGCCACAGAACGCCGAUAGCGAAGGCAGCUCGCCAGGCCUGCAUUGACGCUCGGGCACGAAAGCGUGGGGAUCGAACAGGAUUAGAUACCCUGGUCCU
Molecule: ribosomal RNA, 794 nt
Filed under: uncultured Bacteroidota bacterium
Lineage: Bacteria; Pseudomonadati; Bacteroidota
Description: bacterial SSU rRNA
Rfam family: Bacterial small subunit ribosomal RNA
Source: RNAcentral